RNAcentral lists this transfer RNA (90 nucleotides) under Rhodobacteraceae bacterium HLUCCO07. Its description in RNAcentral is "tRNA-Ser". It matches the Rfam family "tRNA". Rfam says of the family: Transfer RNA (tRNA) molecules are approximately 80 nucleotides in length. Their secondary structure includes four short double-helical elements and three loops (D, anti-codon, and T loops). Further hydrogen bonds mediate the characteristic L-shaped molecular structure. tRNAs have two regions of fundamental functional importance: the anti-codon, which is responsible for specific mRNA codon recognition, and the 3' end, to which the tRNAs corresponding amino acid is attached (by aminoacyl-tRNA synthetases). tRNAs cope with the degeneracy of the genetic code in two manners: having more than one tRNA (with a specific anti-codon) for a particular amino acid; and 'wobble' base-pairing, i.e. permitting non-standard base-pairing at the 3rd anti-codon position. The record is from RNAcentral. Lineage: Bacteria; Pseudomonadati; Pseudomonadota; Alphaproteobacteria; Rhodobacterales; Paracoccaceae.
GGAGGGGUGGCAGAGUGGUCUAAUGCACCGGUCUUGAAAACCGGCGUGGGUUCACGCCCACCGUGGGUUCGAAUCCCACCUCCUCCGCCA